UCUGUGCCUGGCUUAUUUCAUUCAGCAUGAAAGUCUUCAAGGUCUAUGCAUGUUGUAGCAUGUGUCAGAGUCUCUUUCCUGUCAAAGCUGAAGGAUUCUCCAUUGUAUCGAUCUAACAUGUCUUGGAUCCAUUCACCUGUUAAUGGACACUUGAUUGCGUCCACCUUUCGGCUGUUGUGAAUACUGCUCUUAAAAACAUGGGAUGAACUCGUGAAUCUGUCCUCUUCAGAGAUAUAAGAAACUUCUGGUACUGAAGUUGCUGGUACAUUCCGCUUUGUCAAGGCAAAAAGCACUCUUGGUACGUUAGUGAUUUACGCUAAAACGUAAACAACAAAUGAAUCAAUGGAUCAUCUUGCAAAACCGCCACAGCUUGCAUGCUCAGCGAAUUGCUUUCCCUUUCUGAUAAAUGUGAAGCUGCUAAAUACACAAUGAAGUAUUUAUGAGUGAAAUGAAGUGCUGCAGAGAAUUUUCUUUAGAACACUCCACAAGAAAAAUGAGCAGGAGGAAAAGAUCAAGCAAAAACAACAGAAUGUAAACAAUCUUGAAGGUGGCUGGUGGGUCCACAGUGGUUCAAUAUAUACCACACUCUGUGCUUGUUUGAAAAUAUCCAUAAUACAAAGUCAAAAAAACCUUGGGAUCAGAAAUGAUGUAGUGGAACUGUAUGCAUCCUUAAUGACCCCCUCAGGACUCCUUCCCCUUCCCAAUCAACUAUAAUGGCGAGAAAUGAAUGAGGCUACAAGGCUAAAAAACGUAAUGCCUAAGAGAAACCAUGACAACCGAGCAUGAGUUUUGGCUCACAAGCAUGCAUCUUUUAUUAGCAAAUCCAAGCACUGCACAUGCAUACCAUU
Long non-coding RNA from Mustela erminea (ermine), 848 nucleotides. RefSeq lists it as uncharacterized. Lineage: Eukaryota; Metazoa; Chordata; Mammalia; Carnivora; Mustelidae. The transcript is spliced from 3 exons. The record is from RefSeq and is a predicted model, not a curated record.